This 884-nucleotide ribosomal RNA is filed under the name Pleospora ambigua. RNAcentral describes it as "LSU rRNA". It matches the Rfam family "Eukaryotic large subunit ribosomal RNA", at positions 64 to 964 of the family's 3401-position model. Lineage: Eukaryota; Fungi; Ascomycota; Dothideomycetes; Pleosporales; Pleosporaceae. The record is from RNAcentral.
ACCAACAGGGAUUGCCUCAGUAACGGCGAGUGAAGCGGCAUCAGCUCAAAUUUGAAAUCUGGCUCUUUUAGAGUCCGAGUUGUAAUUUGCAGAGGGCGCUUUGGCAUAGGCAGCGAUUCAAGUUCCUUGGAACAGGACGUCACAGAGGGUGAGAAUCCCGUACGUGGUCGCUAGCUCUUGCCGUGUAAAGCCCCUUCGACGAGUCGAGUUGUUUGGGAAUGCAGCUCUAAAUGGGAGGUAAAUUUCUUCUAAAGCUAAAUAUUGGCCAGAGACCGAUAGCGCACAAGUAGAGUGAUCGAAAGAUGAAAAAAACUUUGGAAAGAGAGUUAAACAGCAUGUGAAAUUGUUGAAAGGGAAGCGCUUGCAGCCAGACUUGCCUGUAGUUGCUCAUCCGGGCUCUUGCCCGGUGCACUCUUCUGUAGGCAGGCCAGCAUCAGUUUGGGCGGUUGGAUAAAGGUCUCUGUCAUGUACCUCUCUUCGGGGAGGCCUUAUAGGGGAGGCGACAUACAACCAGCCUAGACUGAGGUCCGCGCAUUCGUGCUAGGAUGCUGGCGUAAUGGCUGUAAGCGGCCCGUCUUGAAACACGGACCAAGGAGUCUAACAUCUAUGCGAGUGUUUGGGUGUCAAGCCCGAGCGCGUAAUGAAAGUGAACGGAGGUGGGAACCCCUCGGGGUGCACCAUCGACCGAUCCUGAUGUCUUCGGAAGGAUUUGAGUAAGAGCAUGGCUGUUGGGACCCGAAAGAUGGUGAACUAUGCUUGAAUAGGGUGAAGCCAGAGGAAACUCUGGUGGAGGCUCGCAGCGGUUCUGACGUGCAAAUCGAUCGUCAAAUUUGGGCAUAGGGGCGAAAGACUAAUCGAACUAUCUAGUAGCUGGUUCCUGCCGA